AAGUACCAAAAUCUAAUCGGUUCGAGUGGGGGUCAGCCACCAGAGGUAACGGGGAAAGUUCGGUGCGAAUCCGGCGCUGUACCGCAGCUGUGUUGAGUUAACCCAUAGGGAACUCAAAAGCCAGAAUGCCCACCGAUAGAGUGAUCACUCA
This 151-nucleotide non-coding RNA is filed under the name Microcoleus sp. RNAcentral also lists the same sequence under 1 other name. Lineage: Bacteria; Bacillati; Cyanobacteriota; Cyanophyceae; Oscillatoriales; Microcoleaceae. The record is from RNAcentral.